This 664-nucleotide ribosomal RNA is filed under the name Peniophora cf. aurantiaca UC2022951. RNAcentral describes it as "eukaryotic LSU rRNA". The stretch from base 255 to 408 matches the Rfam family "5.8S ribosomal RNA". The record is from RNAcentral. Lineage: Eukaryota; Fungi; Basidiomycota; Agaricomycetes; Russulales; Peniophoraceae.
AGAGGAAGUAAAAGUCGUAACAAGGUUUCCGUAGGUGAACCUGCGGAAGGAUCAUUAGCGAAGCUCGGAAUGCGUGUUCGGUACUGAUGCUGCCCGGCAACGGGAUGUGCUCGUUCGGAUGCGUGUCCCUUCCCUAUCCCACCCCAUUGUGAACCAAGUGUGUGAGCCGAAGAGAGAUCGGAAGCUUGCAUGCAAACCCUUAACAUACCCCAAUGAAGUAUCAGAAUGUACCUUGCGUUAACUCGCACAAAUACAACUUUCAACAACGGAUCUCUUGGCUCUCGCAUCGAUGAAGAACGCAGCGAAAUGCGAUAAGUAAUGUGAAUUGCAGAAUUCAGUGAAUCAUCGAAUCUUUGAACGCACCUUGCGCCCCUUGGCAUUCCGAGGGGCACGCCUGUUUGAGUGUCGUGAACUCCUCCACCCUCUACCUUUUUCGAAGGGCAUUGGGCUGGGAUUUGGGAGCUUGCGGGUCCCUGGCCGAUCCGCUCUCCUUGAAUACAUUAGCGAAGNCCUUUGCGGCCUUGGUGUGAUAGUCAUCUACGCCUUGGCUUAGCGAAUCAAUGGGGAAUUGCUUCCAACCGUCUCGCAAGGGACAACGACUACAACUUGACCUCAAAUCAGGCGGGACUACCCGCUGAACUUAAGCAUAUCAAUAAGCGGAGGA